RNAcentral lists this ribosomal RNA (1437 nucleotides) under Lacticaseibacillus rhamnosus. RNAcentral describes it as "bacterial SSU rRNA". It matches the Rfam family "Bacterial small subunit ribosomal RNA". Lineage: Bacteria; Bacillati; Bacillota; Bacilli; Lactobacillales; Lactobacillaceae. The record is from RNAcentral.
AAAGGUGCUUGCAUCUUGAUUUAAUUUUGAACGAGUGGCGGACGGGUGAGUAACACGUGGGUAACCUGCCCUUAAGUGGGGGAUAACAUUUGGAAACAGAUGCUAAUACCGCAUAAAUCCAAGAACCGCAUGGUUCUUGGCUGAAAGAUGGCGUAAGCUAUCGCUUUUGGAUGGACCCGCGGCGUAUUAGCUAGUUGGUGAGGUAACGGCUCACCAAGGCAAUGAUACGUAGCCGAACUGAGAGGUUGAUCGGCCACAUUGGGACUGAGACACGGCCCAAACUCCUACGGGAGGCAGCAGUAGGGAAUCUUCCACAAUGGACGCAAGUCUGAUGGAGCAACGCCGCGUGAGUGAAGAAGGCUUUCGGGUCGUAAAACUCUGUUGUUGGAGAAGAAUGGUCGGCAGAGUAACUGUUGUCGGCGUGACGGUAUCCAACCAGAAAGCCACGGCUAACUACGUGCCAGCAGCCGCGGUAAUACGUAGGUGGCAAGCGUUAUCCGGAUUUAUUGGGCGUAAAGCGAGCGCAGGCGGUUUUUUAAGUCUGAUGUGAAAGCCCUCGGCUUAACCGAGGAAGUGCAUCGGAAACUGGGAAACUUGAGUGCAGAAGAGGACAGUGGAACUCCAUGUGUAGCGGUGAAAUGCGUAGAUAUAUGGAAGAACACCAGUGGCGAAGGCGGCUGUCUGGUCUGUAACUGACGCUGAGGCUCGAAAGCAUGGGUAGCGAACAGGAUUAGAUACCCUGGUAGUCCAUGCCGUAAACGAUGAAUGCUAGGUGUUGGAGGGUUUCCGCCCUUCAGUGCCGCAGCUAACGCAUUAAGCAUUCCGCCUGGGGAGUACGACCGCAAGGUUGAAACUCAAAGGAAUUGACGGGGGCCCGCACAAGCGGUGGAGCAUGUGGUUUAAUUCGAAGCAACGCGAAGAACCUUACCAGGUCUUGACAUCUUUUGAUCACCUGAGAGAUCAGGUUUCCCCUUCGGGGGCAAAAUGACAGGUGGUGCAUGGUUGUCGUCAGCUCGUGUCGUGAGAUGUUGGGUUAAGUCCCGCAACGAGCGCAACCCUUAUGACUAGUUGCCAGCAUUUAGUUGGGCACUCUAGUAAGACUGCCGGUGACAAACCGGAGGAAGGUGGGGAUGACGUCAAAUCAUCAUGCCCCUUAUGACCUGGGCUACACACGUGCUACAAUGGAUGGUACAACGAGUUGCGAGACCGCGAGGUCAAGCUAAUCUCUUAAAGCCAUUCUCAGUUCGGACUGUAGGCUGCAACUCGCCUACACGAAGUCGGAAUCGCUAGUAAUCGCGGAUCAGCACGCCGCGGUGAAUACGUUCCCGGGCCUUGUACACACCGCCCGUCACACCAUGAGAGUUUGUAACACCCGAAGCCGGUGGCGUAACCCUUUUAGGGAGCGAGCCGUCUAAGGUGGGACAAAUGAUUAGGGUG